This 253-nucleotide ribosomal RNA is filed under the name uncultured bacterium. Its description in RNAcentral is "partial 16S ribosomal RNA". It matches the Rfam family "Bacterial small subunit ribosomal RNA", at positions 524 to 776 of the family's 1533-position model. The record is from RNAcentral.
UACGUAGGGUGCAAGCGUUGUCCGGAAUUAUUGGGCGUAAAGAGCUCGUAGGCGGUUUGUCGCGUCGAAUGUGAAAACCCGGGGCUCAACCCCGGGCCUGCAUUCGAUACGGGCAGACUAGAGUUCGGUAGGGGAGUCUGGAAUUCCCGGUGUAGCGGUGAAAUGCGCAGAUAUCAGGAGGAACACCGGUGGCGAAGGCGGGACUCUGGGCCGAUACUGACGCUGAGGAGCGAAAGCGUGGGGAGCAAACAGG